GUCUGCGGCCGCGCCACCCUGAACAAGCCCGAUCCUGUCUGGUCUCGGAAGCAUCAGCUAAGCAGGGUCGGGCCUGGUUAGUACUUGGAUGGGAGACCACCUAGGAAAACCAAGUGCUGUAGGCA
RNAcentral lists this ribosomal RNA (125 nucleotides) under Pteropus alecto (black flying fox). The record is from RNAcentral. Lineage: Eukaryota; Metazoa; Chordata; Mammalia; Chiroptera; Pteropodidae.